Molecule: ribosomal RNA, 492 nt
Filed under: uncultured bacterium
Lineage: Bacteria
Description: partial 16S ribosomal RNA
Rfam family: Bacterial small subunit ribosomal RNA
Source: RNAcentral
AGUGAACGCUGGCGGUAGGCCUAACACAUGCAAGUCGAACGGCAGCACAGUAAGAGCUUGCUCUUACGGUUGGCGAGUGGCGGACGGGUGAGGAAUACAUCGGAAUCUACUUUUUCGUGGGGGAUAACGUAGGGAAACUUACGCUAAUACCGCAUACUACCUACGGGUGAAAGCAGGGGAUCUUCGGACCUUGCGCGAUUGAAUGAGCCGAUGUCGGAUUAGCUAGUUGGCGGGGUAAAGGCCCACCAAGGCGACGAUCCGUAGCUGGUCUGAGAGGAUGAUCAGCCACACUGGAACUGAGACACGGUCCAGACUCCUACGGGAGGCAGCAGUGGGGAAUAUUGGACAAUGGGCGCAAGCCUGAUCCAGCCAUACCGCGUGGGUGAAGAAGGCCUUCGGGUUGUAAAGCCCUUUUGUUGGGAAAGAAAAGCAGCAGGUUAAUACCCCGCUGUUCUGACGGUACCCAAAGAAUAAGCACCGGCUAACUUCGUG